Molecule: long non-coding RNA, 1842 nt
Organism: Cyprinus carpio carpio
Lineage: Eukaryota; Metazoa; Chordata; Actinopteri; Cypriniformes; Cyprinidae
Source: Ensembl
GACUUUUUAAAAAUUCCCCUUUAUAAUCAAUAUUUUACUUUUGUGUUUAUAGGUACAAUUAGUAUUUUUUUUCUUCACUUUUAUCAUGUUAUUUAUUUAUUUAUUUAAUGUUUGUUUGUAGCUGUCAUUACCAAAAUAGUCAUUAUUCUAACAUUUUAAAGAAAUAAAUAAUUUUAUUGUUGUUAUUAUUAUUAUUAUUAUUAUUAUUAUUAUUAUAAACAUAAUUUGUAUAGGUUUUAUCAGUUGCCUGCUAUCUAACCUUCUUGUCAGCAAAUCCGAGGCUAAUACAACUUUUCUUCAAAAAGGUGUAAAUCUUUAUUGCAUCACACACAAUAUCAAAAAUCCACACAAUACUAAAUCAUCACAUCAAAAUCCUCUUUAAGGUUGAUCUUUAUUCCAGAACGUGUGAGAUGUUUUAACAUUGAUGACGUUUAAAAUGGACUUUCAGUUGUCAAAAGAUUGAAGAACAUUAAAUACCUGGCUUUGUCCAUCUUUGAGAUGGAGCAAUAAAAUGUCCUGUUUGAUUCUUUCCUGUGACAGCUCCUCAUGAAUAUGAAACUGUAUCAUAAUUGUAACGAGUGCUGAUAAUGAACUGUCUUUAACAGUGUGUCUAUUGGGAUCAGAUACGUCCUGGCAGAAAGUGAGGCCUACGCUGCACUUUUUCAUACCAGUCAUGCCUACGUGAUCCCUGCAUUUACAUGGACGCCCUCCUUCCGUAUUCUUCUGGCCCAGAUCAUCAUUCAGCCCAUCAUGUCACUGCAGAUGCUCCUCAAAGGAAUUCUGCUAGUCAUUACCUCAGGUGGGAUUGUCAACUUCAUGCCUUUUUUAUUUUCAGAAAUCUCCCAUCUUAAAACACAGGUAAUAUUUUAAUUGAUAUCAUAAUAAACCUUUUUGUGUGUGUGUGUGUCAUGAGGAUUCUACAUAGUAAUAAAGUAUUUUGGACAGGUUUUAUGGUUCAGAAGACCUGUACUAGGAGGACUUGCUACAUGGACACUCUUAAUAUAUUAUGGUAAGUUUUGCUUUUUUGAUUCUAAAAAUAUAAGCUUUUUAAUAAUAAAUAUGCUAUUUAAAGAAGUGGUUCAUCCAGAAUUAUAACUGUCUUCAUUGGCAUCUGGUUCCAUAAAGAAACUAAUGUUCAUGGAACCUUUUCAUUCAACAAAUGGAUCUUUAAAAUAAACAAAAAAAAAAAAAAUUCAAAUCUUCGGAAAAGAAAAAAAAUGGUUCUUUUAAGAACAUUUCACUGAAAGGUUCUCUGGACCAAAAAGUUUUCAUGGCAUCAGUUUGAAAGCCCCUUUUUGUAACAUUUAUUUUUAAGACUGCAUAUAAAUACCAAAAAAGCAGGCCAUAUGCAUGCUUGUGUGGGUUUUUCUGGGGUGAACUAUCUCCAUUAAUGCUUUUCUAAGAUUAUGCACCUUCAGCUACAGCAGAAGAAGCCAGCUAGGUUAUCAUUUGUUACAAAUUUGUGCCCUUCAGUUUAAUUUAAAUGCAAGACUACUGUCAAAGUCAAAGUUAACAAUACAAAGCCCUCCCUGUUCAUUUGUCAAAGCAAAAGCACUUACCGUUUUUAAAAUGACCCAGAAAGAGCUGAACCUAACGACUUCCAUCUCAAGUACAUGCAGACGGGAGAUAGACGGAGACAUCUGCGGUCCGUCUCCCUCCUGAGCUGCCCGCUUGUCGUCCGUCCCUGAUGUCUCUCUGAUUUUAGCACACCCUGAAAAACUCUCCAACACACUGACGUUUCAUCUAAUCAUCUGUAAAGAAGUUAUUGAGUUACCAAUCAGCACUAUGUUACUCAGGAGACCCAAAGCAAUUAUGUUGGAGCAGAUGAGAUGAAAGGAGAUG